AAGAAACUAACAAGGAUUCCCCUAGUAACUGCGAGUGAAGAGGGAAAAGCUCAAAUUUAAAAUCUGGCAGUCUCUGAUUGUCCGAGUUGUAAUUUAGAGAAGUGUUACCCGUGUUGGACCGUGUACAAGUCUCCUGGAAUGGAGCGUCAUAGAGGGUGAGAAUCCCGUCUUUGAUACGGAUCCCAAUGCAUUGUGGUACACUCUCGAAGAGUCGAGUUGUUUGGGAAUGCAGCUCUAAAUGGGUGGUAAAUUCCAUCUAAAGCUAAAUAUUGGGGAGAGACCGAUAGCGAACAAGUACCGUGAGGGAAAGAUGAAAAGAACUUUGGAAAGAGAGUUAAACAGUACGUGAAAUUGCUGAAAGGGAAACGCUUGAAGUCAGUCGCGUUGGUCAGGGAUCAGCCUUCCUUAUGGUUGGUGCAUUUCCUGAUUAACGGGUCAACAUCAGUUUUGAUCAGUGGAUAAAAGCUUGAGGGAUGUGGCAUCUUUCGGGUGUGUUAUAACCUCUUGUUAUAUACAUUGAUUGGGACUGAGGAACUCAGCACGCCGCAAGGCCGGGUUUUUAACCACGUUCGUGCUUAGGAUGUUGGCAUAAUGGCUUUAAUCGACCCGUCUUGAAACACGGACCAAGGAGUCUAACAUGCCUGCGAGUGUUUGGGUGGAAAACCCGAGCGCGUAAUGAAAGUGAAAGUUAGGAUCUCUGUCGUGGAGAGCACUGACGCCCGGCCCAGACCUUUUGUGACGGUGCCGCGGUUGAGCAUGUAUGUUGGGACCCGAAAGAUGGUGAACUAUGCCUGAAUAGGGUGAAGCCAGAGGAAACUCUGGUGGAGGCUCGUAGCGAUUCUGA
Molecule: ribosomal RNA, 844 nt
Filed under: Lentinula lateritia
Lineage: Eukaryota; Fungi; Basidiomycota; Agaricomycetes; Agaricales; Omphalotaceae
Description: eukaryotic LSU rRNA
Rfam family: Eukaryotic large subunit ribosomal RNA
Source: RNAcentral